Molecule: ribosomal RNA, 440 nt
Filed under: uncultured bacterium
Lineage: Bacteria
Description: partial 16S ribosomal RNA
Rfam family: Bacterial small subunit ribosomal RNA
Source: RNAcentral
CCUACGGGAGGCUGCAGUAGGGAAUAUUGCUCAAUGGAGGAAACUCUGAAGCAGCAACACCGCGUGGAGGAUGAAGGUUUUCUGAUUGUAAACCUCUUUUGUUAGAGAAGAUAAUGACGGUAUGUAACUAAUAAUCACCGGCUAAUUCCGUUCCAGCAGGCGCGGUAAUACGGAGGGUGCAAGCGUUACUCGGAAUCACUGGGCGUAAAGAGCGCGUAGGCGGGAUAGCAAGUCAGAUGUGAAAUCCUAUGGCUUAACCAUAGAACUGCAUUUGAAACUGUUAGUCUAGAGUAUAGGAGAGGUAGGUGGAAUUCUUGGUGUAGCGGUAAAAUCCGUAGAGAUCAAGAGGAAUACUCAUUGCGAAGGCGACCUGCUAGAACAUAACUGACGCUGAGGCGCGAAAGCGUGGGGAGCAAACAGGAUUAGAUACCCUUGUAGUC